Molecule: transfer RNA, 77 nt
Filed under: Mycolicibacterium fortuitum subsp. acetamidolyticum
Lineage: Bacteria; Bacillati; Actinomycetota; Actinomycetes; Mycobacteriales; Mycobacteriaceae
Description: tRNA-Arg
Rfam family: tRNA
About the family: Transfer RNA (tRNA) molecules are approximately 80 nucleotides in length.
Source: RNAcentral
GCCUCCGUAGCUCAAUGGACAGAGUGGCGAGUUUCUACCUCGCAUCGGUGCGGGUUCGAAUCCCGCCGGAGGCUCAA